Podarcis lilfordi (Lilford's wall lizard) is the source of this 76-nucleotide non-coding RNA. Lineage: Eukaryota; Metazoa; Chordata; Lepidosauria; Squamata; Lacertidae. The record is from the annotation of a GenBank genome assembly.
GCCCCAACUCAGUGGCAGAGUGCCUGCCUUGCUGCAGAAGGUCCCAGGUUCAAUUCCUGGCAUCCUCAGGUAGGCU